UUGGGUUUGACCUUUUGCUAAAUGCUCAAGGACCUGUCAUCCUAUAAGAAGAAAAUAGAAUAAUAAAAGGGGCUUAGAUGUCUAUUAUCAUAGAAGUUAGGAGUUCUGUUAGAGAGCUCCUGGAUCUUGUUUGAUUUUUCAUUAAUUGCUUUGGUUUGUACUUAAGCUUUACCUCUGUUUGUACUUAUUUUUUCUUUAAAUCGAUCUGAUUCUGAACUUCGGAUCGAUUUGGAUCUGACUUUAAAUUGAUCAGUAUCUG
RNAcentral lists this long non-coding RNA (259 nucleotides) under Elaeis guineensis (African oil palm). Its description in RNAcentral is "long non-coding RNA (EGUI_LNC010414)". The record is from RNAcentral. Lineage: Eukaryota; Viridiplantae; Streptophyta; Magnoliopsida; Arecales; Arecaceae.